RNAcentral lists this ribosomal RNA (468 nucleotides) under uncultured bacterium. Its description in RNAcentral is "partial 16S ribosomal RNA". It matches the Rfam family "Bacterial small subunit ribosomal RNA", at positions 28 to 507 of the family's 1533-position model. The record is from RNAcentral.
GACGAACGCUGGCGGCGUGCUUAACACAUGCAAGUCGAGCGGUAAGGCCCUGCUUGUGUGGGGUGCUCGAGUGGCGAACGGGUGAGUAACACGUGAGUAACCUGCCCUUGACUUUGGGAUAACUUCAGGAAACUGGGGCUAAUACCGGAUAGGAGCUCCUGCUGCAUGGUGGGGGUUGGAAAGUUUCGGCGGUUGGGGAUGGACUCGCGGCUUAUCAGCUUGUUGGUGGGGUAGUGGCCUACCAAGGCUUUGACGGGUAGCCGGCCUGAGAGGGUGACCGGCCACAUUGGGACUGAGAUACGGCCCAGACUCCUACGGGAGGCAGCAGUGGGGAAUAUUGCACAAUGGGCGGAAGCCUGAUGCAGCAACGCCGCGUGCGGGAUGACGGCCUUCGGGUUGUAAACCGCUUUCGCCUGUGACGAAGCGUGAGUGACGGUAAUGGGUAAAGAAGCACCGGCUAACUACGUG